RNAcentral lists this ribosomal RNA (461 nucleotides) under uncultured bacterium. Its description in RNAcentral is "bacterial SSU rRNA". It matches the Rfam family "Bacterial small subunit ribosomal RNA", at positions 8 to 496 of the family's 1533-position model. The record is from RNAcentral.
AGAGUUUGAUCAUGGCUCAGGAUGAACGCUGGCGGCGUGCCUAACACAUGCAAGUCGAGCGAUUUACUUCGGUAAAGAGCGGCGGACGGGUGAGUAACGCGUGGGUAACCUGCCCUGUACACACGGAUAACAUACCGAAAGGUAUGCUAAUACGAGAUAAUAUGCUUUUAUCGCAUGGUAGAAGUAUCAAAGCUUUUGCGGUACAGGAUGGACCCGCGUCUGAUUAGCUAGUUGGUAAGGUAACGGCUUACCAAGGCGACGAUCAGUAGCCGACCUGAGAGGGUGAUCGGCCACAUUGGAACUGAGACACGGUCCAAACUCCUACGGGAGGCAGCAGUGGGGAAUAUUGCACAAUGGGCGAAAGCCUGAUGCAGCAACGCCGCGUGAGCGAUGAAGGCCUUCGGGUCGUAAAGCUCUGUCCUCAAGGAAGAUAAUGACGGUACUUGAGGAGGAAGCCCCGG